RNAcentral lists this transfer RNA (73 nucleotides) under Hyalella azteca. Its description in RNAcentral is "tRNA-Ala". It matches the Rfam family "tRNA". From Rfam's summary of the family: Transfer RNA (tRNA) molecules are approximately 80 nucleotides in length. Their secondary structure includes four short double-helical elements and three loops (D, anti-codon, and T loops). The record is from Rfam by way of RNAcentral. Lineage: Eukaryota; Metazoa; Arthropoda; Malacostraca; Amphipoda; Hyalellidae.
GGGGCUGUAGCUCAAAUGGUAGAGCGCUCGCUUAGCAUGCGAGAAGUACGGGGAUCGAUACCCCGCAGCUCCA